GCGUCGGUGGUGUAACGGUUAACAUACGCUAUCGGAAAGAGUGAGAUUUGGGUUCCAAUCCCGGCUGACGCA
Molecule: non-coding RNA, 72 nt
Organism: Parelaphostrongylus tenuis
Lineage: Eukaryota; Metazoa; Nematoda; Chromadorea; Rhabditida; Metastrongylidae
Source: the annotation of a GenBank genome assembly